GAGGGGGGCUACCAUGCAAGUCGAGCGGAAACGAGUUAUCUGAACCUUCGGGGAACGAUAACGGCGCUCGAGCGGCGGACGGGUGAGUAAUGCCUAGGAAAUUGCCCUGAUGUGGGGGAUAACCAUUGGAAACGAUGGCUAAUACCGCAUAAUACCUACGGGUCAAAGAGGGGGACCUUCGGGCCUCUCGCGUCAGGAUAUGCCUAGGUGGGAUUAGCUAGUUGGUGAGGUAAUGGCUCACCAAGGCGACGAUCCCUAGCUGGUCUGAGAGGAUGAUCAGCCACACUGGAACUGAGACACGGUCCAGACUCCUACGGGAGGCAGCAGUGGGGAAUAUUGCACAAUGGGCGCAAGCCUGAUGCAGCCAUGCCGCGUGUGUGAAGAAGGCCUUCGGGUUGUAAAGCACUUUCAGUCGUGAGGAAGGUAGUGUAGUUAAUAGCUGCAUUAUUUGACGUUAGCGACAGAAGAAGCACCGGCUAACUCCGUGCCAGCAGCCGCGGUAAUACGGAGGGUGCGAGCGUUAAUCGGAAUUACUGGGCGUAAAGCGCAUGCAGGUGGUUUGUUAAGUCAGAUGUGAAAGCCCGGGGCUCAACCUCGGAAUAGCAUUUGAAAACUGGCAGACUAGAGUACUGUAGAGGGGGGUAGAAUUUCAAGGUGUAGCGGUGAAAUGCGUAGAGAUCUGAAGGAAUACCGGUGGCCGAAGGCGGCCCCCUUGGACAGAUACUGACACUCAGAUGCGAAAGCGUGGGGAGCAAACCAGGAUUAGAUACCCCUGGGUAU
This 780-nucleotide ribosomal RNA is filed under the name Vibrio harveyi. RNAcentral describes it as "bacterial SSU rRNA". It matches the Rfam family "Bacterial small subunit ribosomal RNA", at positions 39 to 793 of the family's 1533-position model. Lineage: Bacteria; Pseudomonadati; Pseudomonadota; Gammaproteobacteria; Vibrionales; Vibrionaceae. The record is from RNAcentral.